GCUAGGGUUAGAUUGUUGUUAGGGUUAGACUGGGUUAGACUGUGGAUUUAGGGUUAGACUGGGUAAGACUGGUGUCAGGGUUAGACUGGGUUAGACUAUGGAGUUAGGGUUAGACUGGGUUAGACUGUGGAGUUAGGGUUAGACUGGGUUAGACUGUGGAUUUAGGGUUAGACUGGGUAAGACUGGUGUCAGGGUUAGACUGGGUUAGACUAUGGAGUUAGGGUUAGACUGGGUUAGACUGUGGUGUUAGGGUUAGACUGGGUUAGACUGUGGUGUUAGGGUUAGACUGGGUUAGACUGUGGUGUUAGUGUUAGACUGGGUUAGACUGUGGUGUUAGUGUUAGACUGGGUUAGACUGUGGUGUUAGGGUUAGAAUGGGGCAUUAGGGUUAGACUG
Long non-coding RNA from Oncorhynchus tshawytscha (Chinook salmon), 395 nucleotides. The record is from Ensembl. NCBI's taxonomy places the organism in Eukaryota, Metazoa, Chordata, Actinopteri, Salmoniformes, Salmonidae.